RNAcentral lists this ribosomal RNA (497 nucleotides) under uncultured bacterium. RNAcentral's name for it is "partial 16S ribosomal RNA". It matches the Rfam family "Bacterial small subunit ribosomal RNA", at positions 28 to 507 of the family's 1533-position model. The record is from RNAcentral.
GAUGAACGCUGGCGGCGUGCCUAAUACAUGCAAGUCGAGCGAACAGACGAGGAGCUUGCUCCUCUGACGUUAGCGGCGGACGUGUGAGUAACACGUGGAUAACCUACCUAUAUUACUGGUAUAACUUCGGGACACCGGAUCUAAUCCCAGAUAAUAUAUUCAACCUCAUGGGUCCAUAGUUAAAGGCUCUUUUGCUGUCAGUUAUACAUGGAGCCUCGCCGCAUUAUUUAGUUGGUAAGGUAACGGCUUACCAACGCUACGAAGCGUAGCCGACCUGAGAGGGUGAUCGGCCACACUGGAACUGAGACACGGUCCAGACUCCUAGGGGAGGCCGCAGUAGGGAAGCGUCCACAAUGGGCGAAAGCCUGACGGAGCGAUGCCGCGUGAGUGAUGAAGGUCUUCGGGUCGUAAAGCUCUGUUCUUAGGGAAGAAAAAAUGUGUCAGAAACUAUGCACGUCUUGACGGUACCUAAUCAAGAAGCCCCGGCUAACUACGUG